This 467-nucleotide ribosomal RNA is filed under the name uncultured bacterium. RNAcentral's name for it is "partial 16S ribosomal RNA". It matches the Rfam family "Bacterial small subunit ribosomal RNA", at positions 28 to 506 of the family's 1533-position model. The record is from RNAcentral.
GACGAACGCUGGCGGCGUGCUUAACACAUGCAAGUCGAUCGGAAAGGCCCUGCUUUUGUGGGGUGCUCGAGUGGCGAACGGGUGAGUAACACGUGAGUAACCUGCCCUUGACUUUGGGAUAACUUCAGGAAACUGGGGCUAAUACCGGAUAGGAGCUCCUGCUGCAUGGUGGGGGUUGGAAAGUUUCGGCGGUUGGGGAUGGACUCGCGGCUUAUCAGCUUGUUGGUGGGGUAGUGGCUUACCAAGGCUUUGACGGGUAGCCGGCCUGAGAGGGUGACCGGCCACAUUGGGACUGAGAUACGGCCCAGACUCCUACGGGAGGCAGCAGUGGGGAAUAUUGCACAAUGGGCGGAAGCCUGAUGCAGCAACGCCGCGUGCGGGAUGACGGCCUUCGGGUUGUAAACCGCUUUCGCCUGUGACGAAGCGUGAGUGACGGUAAUGGGUAAAGAAGCACCGGCUAACUACGU